This is a long non-coding RNA of Leopardus geoffroyi (Geoffroy's cat), 6338 nucleotides long. RefSeq lists it as uncharacterized. The record is from RefSeq and is a predicted model, not a curated record. The transcript is spliced from 2 exons. NCBI's taxonomy places the organism in Eukaryota, Metazoa, Chordata, Mammalia, Carnivora, Felidae.
ACACAAAAGUGAGAAAGUAAAGGCAGAUUGAACAAGUGUGUGAACGGCCUCAGAAAUCCCACGCUGUUCAACUUGAGCACGGAUACUGUCAUGAGGUCACAGAAACAAAAACAGGAUCUCUCUCCAUGAACAGCAGCGCCGUUAGGAGGCAAGCGCGCAGUCACAUUCAGGAACAGGAUUCUUUGGAGUCACUGGGCAUCGCGGCACAGUAUUUAAAAGGUUGGGCUUUGCAGUCAGACUGGAGUUUACACCUGGUUUUGCCACUCGGUAAAGAGUUCCUGCCUGUAUCUUAUAGGUAAUUCUCGCUCUGCCAAUCCUCAUCGCCACUGAUCUUGGGCAAGUGUCUCAACUUCUCUGAGCCUCAGUGUCCUUAUCUGUGAACGCUGAGUAUGAAAUAAGGAAACGCACGUGAAGGGCUUAGUUAAGAGGGCACGGGACCUGCUGAGAAAAAUGAUCUAUAGUUACUUUGUAACUCUUACAAAUCUAAACACAAGACUGUCUUCGUUUUUCCUGGGGCCAUUCUGAUGGAUUUUCCCUAGAUCUCAUUGUCAUUUGAAGGCCUCUCAUCUAGAUGGACUUAGGCACCAUUUUGUAAUUUUUAUUAAACAGAGAGUAAGAAAUAGUAAUGCGGACCCAGGAAAGGAAGGAGGAGAAGGGAACUGGGGGGGGAGGGCGGGAGGCACGGACCUCACGAUCCUGUCCCCUCCGUAGGCGUGCAGGAGCGGAAGGAACCCGAGACAGAGUGGGGCCAAGGUCCUGAGCAAGGUCCUGUGGCUCUUCACACAAAGCCCGUCUCACCCCCGUGCGUGGUCCGUAGAGUUCACUCCAAGCGCAAGAAAGCUACCACCAUUUCCAAUUAAGAUAAAUUCCUCCAAGCACUCUCAAAGGUCCUCUGGCUUCGUGUUUCAGCAAUACCCCAAGGAAUCACUGGCCGUGCAAAUGCUCUCAUUACAAUGGGUCCCGUUCUCUCUGAACCUUUAACUCGCCCAGUGGACUUCCAUCACUUGCAAGCCACAGCCCUGGGUUUUAUCUAAUUUAAAGGAGAGGGGAAUGGUACUUGGCUCUGGCCCUUAAAUGACGGGCAAUUAUCAUCAGGCAGGCUGGCCCACGUGCAGCUGACGCCUGCCAGGGUCUUCACAAGAGGGAUGAGGGAGUGCUAUCGGGGGACAAGAGGCUACGUAAUGCAGAGCUGCUCCGUUUAUUCUAAAAGGCAAGGCGCUCUUACUCCCUGAACGUAGACCCUGACGUGUGGGGUCUACUCGGGUCUCCACUCCAUUAACAUAUUCAAUUUGGGAAGGAGAGAGACCAGGAAGAGAGCGGGAUGUUCGGGGGUCAGGAAGUAGACCAGUCUUUUUUGGAAAAGCCUGGAACACGUCCCUCAAAAAGCAGGCAGAAGUGAACGGUGCAAAGCCCCGGUCUGGGCUAGGAGUGUGGGCUCUCCCCUACAGGUGAUGCCUGGGGAAGACGGGCCGAGUCCCUGAGCGGCACGUGAAGCUCCCAAUGUGUGCCAGGCUCUGGGCGAAGAGCUGGGGAGCAAGGCCAAGUGAAGAAGCUCUGACGCUUCGGGGGCUCACUGUGUCUGGGGGAGGGCUGACCCGGAAACAGCCCCUCGAGCACGUCAAGUGCCAUGGCAGACACGAGGACAGUGUGCGGCAGGGCCCGGGCGGAGCAGGCACCUCCUUCUGCCCGGGCAGCAAGGCGAAGGCUUCUUAGCAAAGGGGGCAAGUGGAACGAGUCCUAAAGGCCAAGCUGGACUUGCUGGCAGGACAGGGAGAAACGGUAUCCGAACGACAGAGUGUCCGGGGCCAGGCCCAGUGGUGAGAAGGAGCACCUGUCCCUGGCAAGGAGGCCAGCGCACGUCGGGGGGAAGGACACCAGGGGAGCUGCAGACGCAGUGGGCGCCUGGGUCUCAGACGAUCCUGCACGCCAAGGAACAGAAGUUGUGUCUAACAGUCAAGUCAGGCACAGAAGAUUCAAGUAGCAAGGGCCACAAGGUCAAAUCUGAAUUCUAGAAAAGUCCUUUCUGGCUACAAUGUGGUGGAUGGAUUAUACAAGAGGGAUAUGGAGGGAGACAGCUAAGAGGCUACUGCAAGCGUCCGUGUGAAACUGCUGAAGGCCUAAACCUCAGAGGCAACUGGCUGGUUGUGGGGGUGAGGGGGAGAGACCACCAUUGUGGGAUCAGGGCCCCGGGAGAAGAAACACAAGAAAGCAAUUUGGGGGGAGACUGAUGAGCCCAGGCCUGGACACGCCCCACUCAACGUGACUGGGGCUGGAGAGCAGUUGCGGGAGUGUGUCUCAGGCUGCAGCGACAGCUCUGGGGGGCGCCCCCCGCAGCAGGAGCCACAGGCAUGCAUGGAACUGUCCAGGAGGGGAUGUAAGUGGAAAGAGCCAAGAGCCCAGGAGAGCACCACAGAGAAUAGCAAGAAAGAGGAAUCUAAGAAGGACAGGGCAGAGGGCGGCCAGAGAGGCAGGGCCUCGUGGGAGAGCUUGAAGAACAAGGCACUGCUAGCCGCGACGAUGAAAACGCCCCAGGAUCCUUCUGGAUUCGACAAUAAGAUAUUCUGGAAAUUUCUCCAAAGCAGUUUUUAUGGGGCGGUGGGGCCAGAAUGCCACACUGUGGGUGGCGGGGGCGUGACAGGGGAGACAGCAGCAGGGGACAGGAGAAAUGUACGUGGCUUUCUCAAGAUGAGCCGGCAGGGUGGGUGGGAAUAUAAAAAGCUCCGUGGAGUCAGGGCCAGAGGUGGGGAGGUGGAGUCCGUCUUCCCCAGACAGCAAAGACGUACAGGUGAAAGUGCAGAGAAGACUCAGAGGAGAGUCACAGGUCAAGGCAAGGAGAGAGGUAUGUGUGCCGACACCACGUACGGACACAAACGCGAACGAAUAGCCUUCUGCCCGCAGCAAGCUUACGAUCCAUCACAGUGUUUGGUACGGACACGUAUGAAGAAGAAUAAACGGUGGUCAACCUGAGAACAGGAGCCCAGACGGAGCGCUGCAGGCGGUGAGACCGACCUCUGAAGUGCGGGAGUUCUGGAAGCUUUCAUUCUGCAAGAAAGCAUUCUACUCUAAGGCGGUAAGAGGCCCAGGGAGCAUUCAGUCCAAUGGUCUCCAUUUAUCGGUCUGAAGGGAAUAAGGACUUCACUAAGGACACACACAAUUUUUGCGAUCAAACAACCUAAGCUCUGUCUUCUUAAUCCAGAGCCGAUUCCCCCAGAUCACACGGCUUCUCCACAAAAUGCCCAACGUGGGGCCUGGACUUACGAGCCUACGAUGAAGGACUACAGGCCCUGCCCACCGAAGCCGCUGUAAUGACCUGUCAAGUCUGCACGCCACCCCCCCCCUCCCCCAACCAGGCCACUUCGUGUAGCUUUAUGACAGGCAUUACUCUAAGACUUGACUCUUGCUUUCCUGCCGCUGCUGAAUUAGCUCCGUUUCUGACCUGACACUACCCAGAAGGUUCUGGAAUGUAACAGUGGCGGUCAGAACACAGCUACUGCCACUGCAGACCUGAACUCGGUUCUGGUCUUUCCAGGGCCCAGAGAGGCAAAAAGUCAACUUCACGUAGUUGGAUGGUCAGAGCACGGCAAAUUCUGAACAGGUGGUCGCCCUCCUUCGUGUGUAUUCUGGACUGCUCAGAUCAUGUGUGCACAGCACUGUGACCUUCGGGGAGAGAGGUGUUCCAUCAGUCCUGGGUUAAGAAUGGCUCAUCAUCACGAACAGUUCAAAUUUCUGAUCAGAUAUGGGACGUAAAUAUCAAGGAAGACAAACAAAAAAAAAGGUUUGUACGAGUUGCUCUCAUAAUGUUGUUUUACUGCCUCAAAAUCUCAUGAUUCUUAAGAACUUGGGGAGGUUUGUUGAGUGGAACAGGGAAAUUACUGGAAAGGAGAAGGCAUUCCUGUGUCAAGUUUCAAGGUGUAAUAAAGGGAUUCCUUUCCUGUAAUAGGAAAUGCUUUCAAAGAUUUGACCCGGUGUGACCAGGACCAUGCAUUCAUUCACCUAUGUCUGUGUUUUCCAGAUGCCCUAUUAGUUACAUGCUAGGAACACACAAUGCAAGAGUCUGGUCCCAGUGGAGCUUGUAAUAGGACGGUUGCGAGGGACACAUCGGUGCCAUGUGCCGUGCUGAGACACGCAGCGUGAGGACCGAGAGGUGGCCAGUACAGACGAAGGGAGGGCAAGCCGGAGAAGGCGUCUCAGCUGGAGUGGUGUUCGAGUUCAAUCCUGAAGGAAUCCUAACGCUAACCAGGGCCUGAGGGAAGGACAUUUCAGAGUAGAGGACACGUUCCAAGGCACAGAGUAAGGAAGAGGCCAUGUGCUACUGAAGAAUGAUGUGACGACCUUCUCACCGACACAGGAAGCAAGAGAAGUCACUGACGAUCAUCCACCAAAUAUGGAAUACCUAAAGCACAAGACUGAUAGUGAGGGACAUGCUCAUAGACUGGAGAAUUUCAAGAUGAAGACAAUGCAGAUCUACUCAAGCUUGAGUUAAAACUGGGAGCCGGAUGGGUGGCCAGCAACAACCACCCCCUGACCGCCUCCACGAAAACUAGAGAUGAACUCCAGGGUGUCCGAACUGCUGCUUUUAGCUCUAGACUCUGGGGAAGCUGGCUGGACCGCCCCCAGAGCUGGAUGGGGCGGGGAGCCCGUGCUGUGUCUGUACCUGGAGGUCCCAGGUGACAGCAGCGGACCAGAGGAAGGGCCGGGGGACAGGUUUCCUAACACCUCACCUGUUGCAAGGCCAUCUCAGAGUUAAGGCUGAGGCUAGUUCCCUAGGGGAGGGUGAUCUUCAAGAAUUUUUGCAAGGAGUCUCCUAAGAGACACACACUAAUGAAGUUGAAUCCACAUCUCCCUAAGCAUCCAGGGUCAGCUGUGUCUGAAAAAGUCUCGAGUGGUCUGUACUGUCAUGAUGUGUCUACACUGUUGGGAGGAGUCCACGAAUGUCAUAAACACCAGCCUGUGACAUCCACAGGGCGGUUUUCCCCAGGCAGGAGGGACACAGGAGUAGUGAGUCUAUUAUUGGUGUUCAAGCCAGCUGUCCUUGGAGCAAACCUAACGACAGGGCUCCCUGUUGGCAGAGCGCUUGUCCCGGGGAAAUGCCAAGAUCAAUCGUUUUGGAAAUGGAUCCUGUUCAUGGCAGUGAAUGUGACUUAACAUAUUUCAUCAAGUUUGCAUUUCUAUGAAGAAAGACUUCCAAAUCUAUUUCCUCGAAGACUUCUUUGCACAUGAAUUUUUCAUUUUAUUGUAGAACAAACAUUUGCCUCAAGUGACACAUCAAGGUGCCGGUCAACUUCUUGGUCCCUAUCUAGCCCUGUUUGUUUAAAAACAAAUGAAUUCCAACAAAAGGGGAAAUUUUAAGAGCUCCUUCCCUCCUGGCAGGGGUGGGGGAGGGGAUUGGUUAAUUUCGGUUACAUCUGCGGAUUCAGCGUUCCAUCCCACUUACGGAAGGUGGAGACUCCCAGAGAAGAGGUUACUGCAGUUCAGGGGCAUCCAUUUCUUGGGGACCUGAUCAGGCUUCCAGGGAGUUGGAGCCUCUUGAGGUUCAGGACUGCAUCUCAUGCCCGAUCUGAGCAAUGGCGUCAACAGCAACCCAGAGCCUGCUCCCCUCCGACUCAGGGACAGCUGCUAUCCCACACCUCCAACUCUCCUGGGAAGCUGUGGGUCGGCGUUGGGGCACGCCAGCCUUGCGAUCUAAAGCCUCCCCCUUUAUCCCGCAUCCUAACGAGGGAGCAGCACGUGGCCCUCCCUCCUCUCAUCCCCCCACAUACACAAAGGGCCCCAGAACUGGGUUUCCCAACCCCCGGUCUUCGGAAUUGCAGAUCUCUUGAUAGGGCCCGACGAUCCUCACUCCUGAAUGUGCUGACCUUCAAAUCGCCACAGGAGUGCCCAGCUGUGGCUCAUGAAAAUGAUAAUGAGGACACAACGUUGGAGCAAAGCCAUUACGCCAAGUCCGCGGGCGGAGGGUGGAGGGCGGGGGGGGGGGGGGGGGGGUCCCUGCACGUACAGGGUCCUGCCAUGUCACAGUGGCAGAGAUGGGCUGGGCCAGAGCGCACUAGCAUUCGUGGGCCGCAAUCUCUAGAGCUCCCGUUAUAUCCGAAGUCUGGCGUGAUUUCUCCAAACCUCUCUGCCCUGGUCCUGUGAUGAGUCACAGGGAGCUUCUGAGUUGCAGCAGCCAAUGUUUAACACAGGCCGAGUCUGGGAGCUGGAGGGCCUGGGGGAGAGAGACACUGGGUUCCCGCACAGAGUCAGAACUCGUGUAGAAACUUGUCUAACCCCAGCCAUCACCGAUUGAUGAGUUAACCACCUUUAACACGAGAUUCAAUAAAACAUGCCAUUUUUAACCUGAA